GCGGAUGUGGUGGAAUUGGUAGACACGCUAGAUUCAGGUUCUAGUGCUGGCAACAGCAUGAAGGUUCAAGUCCUUUCAUCCGCA
Molecule: transfer RNA, 84 nt
Filed under: Candidatus Fibrimonadales bacterium
Lineage: Bacteria; Pseudomonadati; Fibrobacterota; Fibrobacteria; Candidatus Fibrimonadales
Also listed under: 2 other names
Description: tRNA-Leu
Rfam family: tRNA
About the family: Transfer RNA (tRNA) molecules are approximately 80 nucleotides in length.
Source: RNAcentral